RNAcentral lists this long non-coding RNA (8718 nucleotides) under Sus scrofa (pig). RNAcentral's name for it is "lncRNA (ENSSSCG00055026122.1)". The record is from RNAcentral. Lineage: Eukaryota; Metazoa; Chordata; Mammalia; Artiodactyla; Suidae.
CAAUGCCAGAGCCACAGCAACGCCAGAUCCCAGCCACAUCUGCAACCUACACCACAGCUCAUGGCAACGCCAGACCUUAACCCACUGAGUGAGGCCAGAGAUUGAACCCGCAACCUCAUGGUUCCUAGUCAGAUCCAUUUCUGCUGCGCUACGAUGGGAACUCCUAAAUUGACUUUUCAAUUCUGAUGUUUAUGUACAUGUGUUUUUAUGUAGUUAAAAUUAUCCUCUACAUAUAUUUUAUAAUCUGCUAUUUUCUUUGGCAUUUCUUUUCUGCAUUUCUACAAGGCUUGGCAAUGAUCGAUUUGAUGACGACAUUAUAUUCUAUUUAAUUACUAAAAUUGAAUUUUUAUAAUCAUUUAAAUAUCUACUUUUUAAGCGUUUAUCUAUAUAGCUAGCACACCAAUUAAAUAAUGCAAAUGAUAAUUCUGAAAUUAAUGGUAGCAGGUAUAAUUUAUGAAACACCUUUUUGGUGUUUCAUAAAAAUUCUAUGUCAUUCUUUGAAUAACUGUAUGAAUUAUGCAUUAAUAUGUUCUUAUUAAAGAUGAAACAAGUGUAAAGAAAGUAAGUAACCCAUUGAUUACAAAGCUAGUGAGAAAUUGAACUAGAAUUCAAUCUGGGUUUGUCUGAUUGUAUUUCUGACUCUGAGCUUUUUCUGUUAGUGUUUCUAUAAUUGUGUUCCAUAAUUGUUAACAGGAAAUAAUAACAGCGAUGAAUACUAGUUUUAAUUCAGUUUUCUGAAUCCCAUAUCUAUUUCAGGAUUUUUAUGACCAUUAUCUUUUAGUUUCCAGUAUUAUCAUUAAAAAGAACAGUCACUUUCAGAGUCUCAUCUUAGGUGUAGGAGUUCUCCCUGUCCAGUGUCUGGAAUGUUUUUAGCAUCUUCUCUUUUUCCUUAGUGUUUUUAUACUUUCUUAAUAAUUUACCUUGUUGUUUGUUCGAUUUUCAUCCUUUGACCUGGGUUUGGGAGUUUUUCAUGUUUUAUUUCUUUGGUAGUUUCCUGUCUUCUAAUUUUGCUGUUGUUGACAAUUUUGUUGUUGUUGUUGUUGCAGAAUUUUAUUUGGAUGUUGGACCUCUUAGACCCUGAUUGUCAUAUCUUUUGUUUUCUAUUGUUCAUUUCUCUAUCAUUUUAUUUCUACCUUAGAGAAGAGUUUUUAGCUUUAUCUUUGAAUCCUUUUAUCACUAUGUUUUUGUUUUUGUUUCUUACCAUUGCUGAUCUUUCUUGUUCUCUGAAAAUUUCUUUUCUUUAGUUUCUAAUUCUUGUUUCUGGGAUACAAUGUAGUUUCUUAUUUCCGUGAGGUUUUUAAAUAAAUUUUUGAAGUUUCUUCUGUUUCCUGAAUUGAAUGAUUUUCUCCAAGUUCACCAUUUUCUGUUUCUGUGGUUUGAAUUCCUGUCUGUUAUGAGCAGAGCUUGUUGAUUGGGUAGCUUCACUGAGAUGUGAUUGAGCAAUGAACUGUCCUCUUUGUUGGAAGAUCACCAAAAGUCAGUAUCUCCAGGUGUUUACUCCUAGGCAAUUCAGAUUAUAGGGAGAGGAAUUUUCCGGUGUCUUGGCUCUGGAAGAAAAGCCUGGAUGCCAGCUUCUGGGAGGCAGUCAGUAGAAAGGGAGGGAAGGGAGUGGUAUAAUAAACAUUUACUUAAUCCCAGUUGUUAAACAAGGCAAUUUAUUCCACUUUCAACUCUUUUUGUUGACUCAUUAUCUAAGUCCUCUCUGGUUCAACCCUCUACAGAAUAAAAUUCCAGUCAGCUACUUGAGUAGUCACCUGGCUACUGAGUAAGGAAGAUCAGUUUGGCAUCUUCUUUUAAAAAAUUGUGAACAAAUCUUUCCAUUUAAAGCCCUACCCUAUUCCACCCUUCUAUCCAGAAAUACAAUUCCUAAGCUUUUCUGAGGUUCUAAAAUAGAACUGCCUCUCUCUCUUUCCCCUCUUUCUCCCUUUCUUCCUGCCUACCUCCUUUUCUUUCUCCCUUAUCUUCUCACUCCUUGGCUUAACUUUAAUCAAUCCAGCUUUCAGUUUCCAAAAGUGUUUUGAUAUCAUCAUCUGUUUUUGUCUCCUUUUUCAUUUUUGCUUGUGUAGUACGAUUUAAAAAAUAUAUAAAUAUACUGUCAUUUAAAUGGUGUUUCAGAAAGGAGUAGAGAUAAACACAGGUUUAAUCCACUAUAUUUUAAAAACCUCAUUUUAUGAUAUGACCACCCAUUCAAGAAUAUGUCUCCAUUUAUUUAAGUCAAAUCUACUAAUUAAAUUUAAUGUUUGUCUUCAUAGAGAUUAAAUGCAGCUUUUAUUAAGUUACAUUCUAAAUAAUGCAGUUUUUCCUUGUUAUUUAGAAUGAACUCUCUUUUUCCUUUCUAUUUUCUACCUAGUUAUAACUUGGUGAUAUUACUUUAGUGUACUUAUAUCUGGAAAAUUUAUUAAACUCAUUGGUUCUAUAAUUUCUGCACUGGUUGUUUUAGAUUUCAUAGCAUAUAAUCAUUUUAUUCAAAUAAUAUUUUAUCUCUCUAUGUGUUUUAUUAAUCUAUUAUGUUUCUUUUUCUGUUUUUAUGUAUAAAAAUAUUCAAAAAUAUUUAAAAUAAUAUUGGUAAUAAUUAAUAUCCUUAUUUGACCCCUAAUUUGGAAGGAAUACUUUUAGUAGAGUUCUAAUGGAUAUAAUAUGGACUUCUGUUUUGAAAUGUCAUUAUUUUUAGAAUGUAUUUUAAGACAAACUAAAAAACUGAAAAAAACAUGUCCAAAGUUCACAGAAGCCAACUUUAAAGGGGCUCCAUCUGGACAUAUUUGGGACACUCAUGUCCCCAAUCAAAUAAAUAAUGAUAAAAAUGGGUUAUAACACACUGAUUUAAAAACAGUAAUCCAUAAGUCACAUCGAUACAUAAAUUAGAAAACAGAUGAUGGAAAGUGCUUUUUUAUAGAAGAAUGCCUGCUAAUAAAUGUAGAAAGUAUAUGAGGAAUGGAAAAUUACUUUUAUUUACAAUAAAUCAAUUCAGGCAAUAGUCACCAGUUGAUGCUAAAAUUAUUGGGUAAAAAAAUAAAAAUAGAAAUAUAAUUAUCUUCUUUAAUAAAAAUAAAAUUAUCUGGAUCAAUUCACAGAUAACUUAUUAAUAAGAAAGAUACUUACAAAAUGGAGAAAUCUGGCAGCUACCAUCUUAACUAUAUGAUUAAAUUUCACAACACCAGUAAAGGACAGUGUCGCAUCACGUGCCUCCUAAUAUGUUGUACUUCAGAAGAGGAAAAGGUGCCUCUUUUGUUAUAUUCCUGACAAUAAUGUGUAACCUAAGUAGAAUCCUCAGACAAAUUUGAAAUGAGAGGAAGAGUCUGAAAAGCAACUGACCUAGACUCUUCCAAAAUGUCAGUGAUGUGGAAAAACUAAACAAAAGUAGGGAAUUUCUCUAACUGAAAAGAGAAUGAUGAUUGUUUGGAUCCUAAUUUUAAAAAGAAAACAAUAAAACAGCAAAACCAACAGAAGGUUAGAGUGCCUUGGAGACAAAUGGCAAAAGAAAUACAGAUUGUAAAUUAUAUGCAGUAUCAGUGUAAAGUUUCCUGAACAUGAUAAUUAUAUCAUCGCAGUUAUGUAGAGUGUCACUGUUUGGUGAUACAUACUGAAGUACAUAUGGAUCAAGUGCCAUGGACUUUUACAAGUAACUCUCAAAUGGUUCAGCAAAAGCAGUGUAUGUAUGUAUACAGAUAUGCACACAUACAAGCAGAUACCCAUAAACAGGGAAGGGCAAAUGUGGCAAGCGGUUAAAAAUAUGUUAUUAAACUAGGUCGAGGGUAUUCUCUGUGGCUACUGCGAUUGGAAGUUACUUAAGUUUGAAAUUUUUCAGAGAAGUUGGAAAAGUGAAAUAUCUUUUUGUAAUUUUAAUAUGUAUUAUCAGAUCUAAAUUUAGCUAUUCUAUAUCUACAACAGUAUCUCUUUAGUAGUAAUUUCUCUAACAGUUUUAUUUAUUUAUUUAUUUAUUUAGUCUUUUUUUGCCUUUUCUUGGGCCGCUCCCUCGACAUAUGGAGGUUCCCAGGCUAGGGGUCGAAUCAGAGCUGUACCCUCUGGCCUACACCAGAGCCACAGCAACGCAGCAUCUGAGCCGCGGCUGCAACACAUGCCACAGCUCACGGCAACACCGGAAACUUAAACCACGGAGCAAGGCCAGGGAUCGAACCCGCAACCUCAUGGUUCCUAGUCGGAUUCGUUAACCAGUGCGCCACGCUGGGAACUCCUACCAGUUUAUUUUAAUUAAUGUUUUUUCAGCCUGUAUAAGAAAUUGCGUGCGCAUGUGUGUGUGUGUGAAUGUAUGUGUACACAUAAGCAUUUGUGAAAACCUCUGCUUUCUGUACUGAAAUCCUAUUCCCCAAGGAAUAUCCUCAGUAUGUAUAUUUUUUAUACCAUAUUAUCUUUUCUUGAAUUAUUUUCCUAAAAUGGCUUAACAAACCUUUGGACCAAAUACUUUCUACUUGGUGCAAAAGGAAUGUCUUUAUAAAUUUUUCACACAUUUCAAAUUUUAAAAAGCACAAGGAAUUAUUACAUGAGCCUCCUUGCAGUUCAUGGUCUCUUAAUACUUAAUAAAAAUAGAGUCGAAAGUGCUAUUUCUUCUCUUAACAAAUUUAUAAUUUUAAAAUGCUUAUCACUGAGUCAUUAUCUGCUUUUCCGCUCAAUUAUACUAAUUUGUAUUUAAAUCUAUUUCCCAUCAUAAUUCUGUUUAUGGCUUGUCGGUCUCAUUUGGUCUAUUAUUAUGGUGCUGAACUUGAAAUUUUAAAAAAAAAUCUUUCAAUCAGACUCAGAAAUCCUGUGAAUAGCUUUAAAACUCAGGCAUCUGUUGGUAAUCUAAAAGUUUCAUUAGACCAGAAAAGUACAUAAUAAUCAUCAACAUUACUUCUACUCUAACAUACCGUGAGUCACCCCUCUAUUGUGUGGCACCGGCAGCUCUUCACUUCCAAACUGUAGCCAGAAAGCUUGCUGACUUUAUCUCACAAAUUCUAUCUCAAAGGCCUCAGGCGAGGUGGGGUUUGAGAAAGAGGUAGUAUGACUUAGAGCAUCUUCUUAUAAUAAUUCUUUCAAUGAUUGAUGCUUCCCUUUUGCACAUAAAGUUUAACUCUUAGAAAAUAGCAGUUGCGUUGUAUUUCGUCUCUUGGAAAUAUUUCCUUGUGGGAAACUUUCUGCUUUAUAGUAACUGCUCUCGAACUUGUACUAUUGAUAUUUUUGGCAUUUACUGUUAACAGCCUCUAAUCUCUAGGUAAAAAGUUGACAUGCCCAGUUUUGUUAGAGGAUAGAAGAGCUUAAAAUGACAUGCGUGAAGGAAUCGUUUCUCUGCUUAUGCUGUUGCAAUGGAAUGUGAGUAGCCUCAGACACCUUACUGUGUUGUGAAAGCCGAUUUUCAGCCUGGAAGAGGCUACUAGGUAGGGUAGGAAAAGAUGGUGAAACUGCAUUAAUAAAUGAUGUACUUUGCUUUUGUAGACCAUUUUUUCCUUCUCUGUGAAUAAUCUGAAUAUCAUGACAUACUGUAUGGUAAAUAUAAUACAGCAUACAAUUUUGAUUCUUUUCUAUUUUUAAACUAGUAAUUUUGUUAUUACAGAGUAAGAUUUUUUUCUUUUAGAAACUAAAAAAGAUGAAAAUAAAAAACGCAUGUGGGGUUCCUGUCGUGGCUCAGUGGUUAACGAAUCCGACUAGGAACCAUGAGGUUGCGGGUUCGAUCCCUGGCCUUGCUCAGUGGGUUAAGGAUCUGGCGUUGCCUUGAGCUGCGGUGUAGGUUGCAGAUGCGGCUCGGAUCCCGCAUUGCGUGGCUCUGGUGUAGGCUGGUGGCUGCAGCUCCGAUUUGAUCCCUAACCUGGGAAUCUCCAUUUGCCGAGGGAGCGGCUAAAGAAAUGGCAAAAAGACCAAAAAAAAAAAAAAAAACUAGGAAAACAGAUGUAACUGCAACAUCCAGAGAUAAUCAUUUCAGUGCUUAUCCUUCCAGAUCGUUCUCUUUAGGGACAUCUGUUUUUUAGGUGAGUUCAUAUGGUAUAUGCCCCUUUACUUGAAAUUUUUUUCAUUAACAAUAUAUUGUGGACAUCUUUCCAGAUUAUUUAAUUUUCUUCUAGACUAUUAUUUUAAGUAGCUGUACAAUAUUGUGUAUUUGUUCCAUGACUUAUUCAAAUAGCUUCUGUUACUGAUUUAAUUUUUUUAUUUUACUAGUGUUCUUAUUACAUUGAUGAAAUAAAAUCUUUGGUCACAAUUUCUUUUAAAUAAAAAAUAUAAUAGCUAGAUCAAAGAGGUUGAAAUUUUAAAAUUUUUAUACGUAUUGCUUAACUGCUUUUUUAAAAAGUACUCUAUCUUGAAAUAGCUUAAUAUAAUUUUUAGAGAAAACCAAUAAAGAAAGUGGCUGGUUUAAAUACUGAGAACUCUACAUAAUCUCUUAGCAAUCUAUAACAUUGUUGGUUGAUUUUAUGAAGGUGAGAAUAAAUUAGUUAUUUCCUGCUAUCAUUAGGAAUAACAUUAAAAAUUUCCGGUAUAAAUUAAAAGUGAGAAAGAGCAUAAGACAUUUUACCAAUAUUAUAAAAGCUAUGAGUUUAUAUAGGAAACAAUUUGAUGAAUGUAGUCUUUCCUUCUUUUUUCCCAAAAUAGAGAUGUUUUUAUUAAUAUUCUAAAUAAUAAAAAUAACAUGAGCUCAUGUUGCAAGUCUGUUUUGCAAGUGGCUUUUAUAAAAGUCUUGCUAAAGUCUUCCCAUAUUACUACACAGAUUUCCCUUACUCUGUAAUUCCCGAAUACUAUAUGGUAUGGUUAUAUCAUAUUUUAGUAAAUAAAUUCCUCAUUGGUAGUUAUUUAGAUUAUUUUUUACUCAGUUACAAAUAAUAAGUAUAUUUUUUGUCUUUUACAGACAUCCAUGUGCUUUAUUUAUUCCAUGAAAUAAAUAUAGCUGUAGCAGUAGAACUGUUAUUGAUAACAAUGUUUGAUAAAAUAUUUGAUAAAAUUGAUAUCAUUGUUAUUGAUAAAAUGAUAAAACUCUGAGUUCUGGAAUUAGAGCUUGAAUACUACCCUCCAUCACGGACAUGCUGUUUAACUUUGGCAAGCUAAUUGAUCUUACCAUUAAAAUGACAUGAAAUCUAAUGGUUGAGGAAUUCUGUAUCCUCUCCUAAUAAUGAAAUUCAUGUAAGGCAAUUACUUUGUACCUGUUGUACUUGGCACAUAGUAAGUGCUAAAAUAACCCUAUUGUUAACAUAAAUUUUUUCUUUAGUGAAUUUUCUGUUCAUUUCUUUUGGACAGUUUCCUUUUAUUUUAUUAAUUAAUUUUUGUAUCAAGAAUAUUUACUAGUGGAGUUCCUGUAGUGGCACAGCAGAAACAAAUCUGACUAGUACCCAUGAGGACACGGGUUUGAUCCCCGGCCUCCCCCAGUGGGUCAGGAAUCCAGCGUUGCCCUGAGCUGUGGUGUACAUUGCUGAUGGGACUUGAAUCCCGAGUUGCUGUGGUGGCGGUGUAGGCCAGCAGCUGUAGCUCUGAUUCGACCCCUAGCCUGGGAACUUCCAUGUGCCACAAAUGCAGCCUUUAAAAGAAAAAAAUCAAUAGUCCCUACUAUAAAUUAAAAAUAUUUUUUCUCAAUUUAUCAUGUCUAUAUUCUAGUUUAGUCAGAUAUGUUAGUCUUUUAUGAUUUCUGGUCUUAGUGUCAUGCUUAGAAAGGAAAUCUCUACUGCAAGAUUUUGUUAAUCCUGUAUUUUCAUCUAGAGAUCUUAGUUUUAUUUUCUAUGUUUAAAUAUUUUCCUCUUUUGUGUGUGGCUAGUACUGCUUCUCCUCCAUUCUCUCCUCUAUUCCCCCAAGGGACAUAUUGGAAAUGUUAGAGUCCUUUUUAAGUUAUCACCACAAUUGAGAAAGCACUACUGGUAUUCACUGGUCAGGAGCCAGGAAUGUCUGCCAGACUCCUUCUGUGCACAGAACUUCUCUCAGUAAAGAAUUUCCGCAUACUCUCAAUCUUACCUUUGCUUUCUGCCAACAACAAACAUCUGAAAACUAAGCAUCUAAGAAUUAAAAAUAAAAAUAACUGGAUUUAAUUCAUUGCUUUGCAGAUUAACUGAGUUUAAAAAUAGUAACACCUGAAUUACAGAGAAAACCUGAAUUUCAUGUACCGGGGGAGUGUUUAGAUUAGUACAACCAUUUUUCGUUGUCUUAUUGUUAAUUGCUCCUUUUCCAUGGUAGUAUAUUCUUGUUUAUUGCCACAAUACCCCUCAAAUAUAACGGAAAACAAAACUAGAAAAUUUCAGUUACCUCUCCUGUUUCUUGCGUUAUUUCUCCUCAUUGAGUACCAUUUGCACAGCUUGUUCACCUUACUCUCCUUUUUGAGCUGCUGAUUUUCUUUUUAUAGCUAGUGAUUUUUAUUUGUAUAGAUAGAUCUUCAUUAGUAGAAUUGAUGUCUCUUUUAGGUUUCUUCAGCAGAUUGGUAAGUCUGGUUGAAGGGAUUCCUCAGCAGAACUUGGCUGGGGAACUGAACUUUUAUGACUUAAUAUGAUCAAUUUGUAAAAUAGAAGUUCAGUCCUUUUCCAUACAUCACAAUGGUCAAAAAGUCAUUCCUUCUUAUUUUAUACUUUUUUUAUAAUAUAUGUAAGAUAAAGUAGUUUGAGUUCAUAGCCUUCUGAUGGUAAAAGUUUAAGAAUACUACUUAAAAGAGUUGAAAAAGAUAUAGCUUACAAAUAAUUUUCCAUAAACAUCAUUUCUCUUAGUGGGUUUCUUUAAAGGUAAUUACCCACAAGAGAAACUGAAAAAAAAAAAAAAAAAAAAAAA